Long non-coding RNA from Triticum dicoccoides, 2082 nucleotides. RefSeq lists it as uncharacterized. The transcript has 7 exons. NCBI's taxonomy places the organism in Eukaryota, Viridiplantae, Streptophyta, Magnoliopsida, Poales, Poaceae. The record is from RefSeq and is a predicted model, not a curated record.
GCGACCUCUUUCUCUCCCUCGUCUCCCGCUCCACCGCCGCCGCCCCAUCUCCCGCUCCGCCGCCGCCCCUACUGCUCCACCGGCCCGACCUCUUCUUCGAGCGCGACGGCAGGAGCAGCUCCACCUCUCCAUUCCCCCACGUGAUAACACUCCAGACCCCCACCCCAUGCCCGGCCGCCGCUAGGGUUUCGGGAAGGAGAUGAUGAGCAGAGCGGUCAAAUCCGUGGCGGACGGUGCCUCCCCAAGCUCCCGUCGGGGCGAGGCACUGGAGGCCGCCACCCUCCCCUCACGUGCAUCGCGGUUCUGGAUCGGCCGCCGGCAUGCUUGAGGUGUAGCCUUUCCCCUUCCCCUAUCUCUUCUCUCUCUCACUCCUACCAUCCUGGUUUCCUGAGUUCGGGCUGCUUGCGGAGUGGGCAUGGAUGGAGCGGUGUUGGGCUCGAAGGGAAGGGAGUGGAUCGUCCGCCGGCAUGCUCGCCGCCGUGCCAUCCGUGUUCCUCCAACGAUGGCCUGUAUCGCCCACGUCCAGGUCCUCCAGAUCCUAAUUAUGCUAUGGCAUCUGAUUUUGCACAUAUUAGGUAGAAAAUUAAGGGAAAUCAAAGUCGGAAGAACUGAAGAUUCUAUGCACUCUGUAUACAAGAAGUAAAAGCUGCCUAUUCCUACAACAAGUAUGCAUAUGAGCAUAUCACAUACGGAUAAGGAUCCACGAGUGGGUAUUACUUUCAGAACGUUUGUUAGAAUCAUUCUUUAUACGAACUUGAUUGUACUUUCAGCCACAGAGCUGCAAAUUUCGUGGGCUAAUGCAUGAUAUGAUAGCAUAAUAUAAUCUGGAGGACCUUCAGACUUGGCUCUCUGCUGGGGUGAAGGCUGUGAAGUGGUUUGCCGCAGAUUCAGAGGCCAUUUUUCUUACCAAUUUGCACAUGCUCUACAGUUCAGAGCUGGUUUUUAUUUCUCCUUAAAGAAAUCCGGUUUAAUUUUCUGCUAGUUUUUUGCUUUAUCUUCUUUAGCUCAUAUUCUUCUAUAACAUGGUGCUUUUUUAUCUCUUAUGAACGUAAGCAGCACGCAUCGCAGUGCUCGACAGUGACAAGCAGGUUCUGCAGGGUACCAUGGUGCUAUGUAUCAAUGGCUUAAAAUUGCAGUCAGGAGGAUGUUGUCGGGCCUCCUGGGACGGAUAUAUCCUACUAAGUGAAAGUUGCCGCGGCGGAGACUGACUUUACUUCUUCUUCAGAUUGGCCGAUGAUACAACAUGCACCCCAACCUGGCUUGGCAAGGUACAUUAAAAUGUAUCAUUCUGCAGUAUGAAAGGCUUUCCAAAUUGACCUUUACCAACAAAGCUCGACAAGGCAGUGUUCGAGGGUGUGCCUAGGUGAAACACAUGGUCUCCAUCACCCUUUCCUUCUAGAGCCAGUACCAGGGAGGCAAGCCCAGGAUCACAUUCUUGGCCCUGAUUGAAGGAACGACGAUUUUCAGGAUUGACAUGGAUGGAUUUUUCUUGAACAUGACGGUGUCAUUUUUGUUGCCAUAUUGAACACUAUAGAUCAUUAGUUCAGAGGUUUCCUCUCAUUUUUGUUGCCAUUGAACACUAAAGAAAAUGGCAGGGACAGAAGAAUAUAAACAUAGAUUUCUCGCUCUACAUAUCUCUUUUCUGUAGGAGGCUCGUGAUGGCACACAACAAUGAAGGGGACGAGAUAAAAUAGGAGGAUGUCUGAGGAGCAGGGCCAAGACUAAACAAAAAACGAAGAAUGCCUUUUCAUUUCAUGAUCAUAAAACACUACUAAGCUUAUUUUCCAUAUGGCAACUGUCGGAGCUAAGAGGCAGCCCCCGAAGCACCAACACGACGCCACCUGGUCUGCCAUCUCCCAAGAUAUGGAAUCAGCAGCGCGCCACGCGGAUGGAACCCGGCCGAGAUCAUGGAAUGCUUCCUUAUAGGGCUCGCCAAGAUUGCUAUUCUGAACUUUUUUGUAAACAAAGUGAAGAGUGGGACAUGAUCUGCACUUGUGCUAAUAUAAAAUAUACAGUACUUGUAUGUAACUCGAUCCACUGUGUCCGAUCAUAAGGUGACAAUGGCGGCACAACAGCCAGGAG